Molecule: ribosomal RNA, 507 nt
Filed under: Glomus sp. Glo8
Lineage: Eukaryota; Fungi; Glomeromycota; Glomeromycetes; Glomerales; Glomeraceae
Description: SSU rRNA
Rfam family: Eukaryotic small subunit ribosomal RNA
Source: RNAcentral
AGCCACCGCGGUAAUUCCAGCUCCAAUAGCGUAUAUUAAAGUUGUUGCAGUUAAAAAGCUCGUAGUUGAAUUUCGGGGUUAGUAGGUUGGUCAUGCCUCUGGUAUGUACUGGUCUCACUGAUUCCUCCUUCCUGAUGAGCCGUAAUGCCAUUAAUUUGGUGUGGUGGGGAAUCAGGACUGUUACUUUGAAAAAAUUAGAGUGUUUAAAGCAGGCUCGCGCUUGAAUACAUUAGCAUGGAAUAAUGAAAUAGGACGUUGACCCUAUUUUGUUGGUUUCUAGGAUUGACGUAAUGAUUAAUAGGGAUAGUUGGGGGCAUUAGUAUUCAAUUGUCAGAGGUGAAAUUCUUGGAUUUAUUGAAGACUAACUACUGCGAAAGCAUUUGCCAAGGAUGUUUUCAUUAAUCAAGAACGAAAGUUAGGGGAUCGAAGACGAUCAGAUACCGUACGUAGUUUAACCAUAAACUAUGCCGACUAGGGAUCGGAUGAUGUUAAUUUUUUAAUGACUCA